AAUGAUUGGGCGUAAAGGGUCCGCAGGUGGCCCGGUCAGUCCGCUGUCAAAGCCUGGGGCUCAACCCUGGAGAGGCGGCGGAGACCACCGGGCUCGAGUCCGGUAGGGGCAGAGGGAAUUCCCGGUGGAGCGGUGAAAUGCGUAGAGAUCGGGAAGAACGCCAAGGGCGAAGGCACUCUGCUAGGCCUGAUUUCGCGACUGACACUCAGGGACGAGAGCCAGGGGAGCGAAUGGGAUUAGAUACCCCAGUAGUCCUGGCCGUAAACGAUGGAUACCAAGCCCUGCGCGUAUCGACCCGGGCAGGGCUGUAGCUAACGCCAUGAAGUAUCCCGCCUGGGGAGUACGUUCGCAAGAGUGAAACUCAAAGGAAUUGGCCGGGAGCCCGCACAAGCGUUGGAGCAUGUGGUUUAAUUCGAUGCAACGCGGAAGAACCUUACCAGGGCUUGACAUGCCGCGAACCCCCCUGAGAGGGGGGGGUGCCUUCGGGAGCGCGGACACAGGUGGUGCAUGGCUGUCGUCAGCUCGUGUCGUAAGAUGUUGGGUUCAGUCCCGCAACGAGCGCAACCCCCGUCUCUAGUUGCCCAAGAUUCGGCACCCUAGAGAGACCGCCGGUGUUAAGCCGGAGGAAGGUGGGGAUGAGGUCAAGUCAACAUGCCCCUCUUGCCCUGGGCGACACACGUGCUACAAUGGCCGGGACAAAGAGAUGCGACCCCGCAAGGGCCAGCGUGACCUCGUAAACCCGGCCUCAGUUCGGAUUGUAGGCUGCAACCCGCCUACAUGAAGGAGGAAUCGCUAGUAAUCACCGGUCAGUCAUACGGUGGUGAAUCCGUUCCCGGG
RNAcentral lists this ribosomal RNA (837 nucleotides) under uncultured phototrophic eukaryote. Its description in RNAcentral is "bacterial SSU rRNA". It matches the Rfam family "Bacterial small subunit ribosomal RNA", at positions 549 to 1378 of the family's 1533-position model. The record is from RNAcentral.